GCGCGGCGGCGGCAGGGGAGGCCCGAGACGCCCCCCACCGGGGAACUUCCGCAGACUUUGGGGCUCUCGGGUCACAGACAGGCCAGGGCGGCCGGAGCGGCAGCCUCGGCCCCGCGUGUUCUACUAGGAGCCAAGAGGGCCUUGGGGGCAUCGCAGGUUCUGCCACAUGUUCCGCGUUCACUGGUUGUGUGAACUCUUGAAAGCUCCCACUGAGCUGGGACCAGUCGGUGGGAAAGUGAGUUGCAUCAUCCGCGCCCCUGCUGCCUGAAGCCGCCUGGAAUCCAGUAGAUAAGUAUGUGUGUGUGCCCUGGAGAAUUUUGGAAAUGUUCACACCAGGAACAAGAAAUGGUGAGAGGCAGAAUUGCUCACCUGCCCAUGUUCCGUUACGUUUUGGGGCCCAACGGUGAUGACUGGUGGUGGAAUCUCUCACGCCCAGCCCAGAGCCCAACUGGCAGUUGGAUCUCAGUCGCUGCUUUUCAUCUCACGGGGCUCCCCGGGCUCCCCUUUCCUGACUUACCAGCGGCAGAGAGUAGAGCUGCAUGAUCUGUGGUCCCGACAAGCCCUCACUCUUUCUCCUCCAGGAGUGAGACCUAGGAGUUCCUCUGUCCUUUGCAAGUGCUGCCACGCGGAAACUGCGGGGUUACCUGCCAUCAUGUCUGAUUCCUCCCACUCGUAGGAACUCCAGCAACGCCACCAUUCCUGCCAUUUGAUGUUCGGUUUUUUAAAAGGUUGAAAAUUUGGUAAACAAACAACGGGU
Diceros bicornis minor is the source of this 757-nucleotide long non-coding RNA. RefSeq lists it as uncharacterized. NCBI's taxonomy places the organism in Eukaryota, Metazoa, Chordata, Mammalia, Perissodactyla, Rhinocerotidae. The record is from RefSeq and is a predicted model, not a curated record. The transcript is spliced from 4 exons.